GGAGAGCUGUCCGAGUGGCUUAAGGAGCAUGAUUGGAAAUCAUGUGUGCGGUGAACUCCGUACCCAGGGUUCAAAUCCCUGGCUCUCCG
Molecule: transfer RNA, 89 nt
Filed under: Veillonella montpellierensis DNF00314
Lineage: Bacteria; Bacillati; Bacillota; Negativicutes; Veillonellales; Veillonellaceae
Rfam family: tRNA
About the family: Transfer RNA (tRNA) molecules are approximately 80 nucleotides in length. Their secondary structure includes four short double-helical elements and three loops (D, anti-codon, and T loops). Further hydrogen bonds mediate the characteristic L-shaped molecular structure. tRNAs have two regions of fundamental functional importance: the anti-codon, which is responsible for specific mRNA codon recognition, and the 3' end, to which the tRNAs corresponding amino acid is attached (by aminoacyl-tRNA synthetases). tRNAs cope with the degeneracy of the genetic code in two manners: having more than one tRNA (with a specific anti-codon) for a particular amino acid; and 'wobble' base-pairing, i.e. permitting non-standard base-pairing at the 3rd anti-codon position.
Source: Rfam by way of RNAcentral